This 69-nucleotide transfer RNA is filed under the name Ictidomys tridecemlineatus (thirteen-lined ground squirrel). RNAcentral's name for it is "Spermophilus tridecemlineatus (thirteen-lined ground squirrel) tRNA". It matches the Rfam family "tRNA". Rfam says of the family: Transfer RNA (tRNA) molecules are approximately 80 nucleotides in length. The record is from Rfam by way of RNAcentral. Lineage: Eukaryota; Metazoa; Chordata; Mammalia; Rodentia; Sciuridae.
GGGGUUGUGGCUCAGAGGUAGAGCGCUCGUCUGACAUGCGUGAGGCACUGGGUUCGACCAUCAGUACCA